GCCACCGUGGCUCAAUGGUAGAGCAUCGCUCUCGUAAAGCGAAGGUUGAGGGUUCAAGUCCCUUCGGUGGCU
RNAcentral lists this transfer RNA (72 nucleotides) under Candidatus Woesearchaeota archaeon. RNAcentral's name for it is "tRNA-Thr". It matches the Rfam family "tRNA". Rfam says of the family: Transfer RNA (tRNA) molecules are approximately 80 nucleotides in length. Their secondary structure includes four short double-helical elements and three loops (D, anti-codon, and T loops). The record is from RNAcentral. Lineage: Archaea; Nanobdellati; Candidatus Woesearchaeota.